GAUGAACGCUGGCGGCGUGCCUAAUACAUGCAAGUCGAGCGAACGGACGAGGAGCUUGCUUCUCUGAUGUUAGCGGCGGACGGGUGAGUAACACGUGGAUAACCUACCUAUAAGACUGGGAUAACUUCGGGAAACCGGAGCUAAUACCGGAUAAUAUUUUGAACCGCAUGGUUCAAAAGUGAAAGACGGUCUUGCUGUCACUUAUAGAUUGAUCCGCGCUGCAUUAGCUAGUUGGUAAGGUAACGGCUUACCCAGGCAACGAUGCAUAGCCGACCUGAGAGGGUGAUCGGCCACACUGGAAGUGAGACACGGUCCAGACUCCUACGGGAGGCAGCAGUAGGGAAUCUUCCGCAAUGGGCGAAAGCCUGACGGAGCAACGCCGCGGGAGUGAUGAAGGUCUUCGGAUCGUAAAACUCUGUUAUUAGGGAAGAACAUAUGUGUAAGUAACUGUGCACAUCUUGACGGUACCUAAUCAGAAAGCCACGGCUAACUACGUG
RNAcentral lists this ribosomal RNA (497 nucleotides) under uncultured bacterium. RNAcentral's name for it is "partial 16S ribosomal RNA". It matches the Rfam family "Bacterial small subunit ribosomal RNA", at positions 28 to 507 of the family's 1533-position model. The record is from RNAcentral.